Molecule: long non-coding RNA, 374 nt
Organism: Numida meleagris (helmeted guineafowl)
Lineage: Eukaryota; Metazoa; Chordata; Aves; Galliformes; Numididae
Exons: 3
Source: RefSeq, a predicted model, not a curated record
CCACCAGCGGUGACUCACUGUUAGUGCAGCUCUGCCCAAGGAGGGGCUUCCCACUGCUGCCCUCCCGGCUCCGGAGCUCUACUGGAGCCCAAACAGAGCUCUCUGACCCCGUUUUCUGGAUUUCUCUUCUCCCAGGCGCAGAAGAGAGCUAAGAAGGCAAAGUCCUUGAGCUGCUCUUGGCUCCAAAAGGGGGUCAAUAAUCAUCCACGUGUGCACAGCAUUGCAGGAGGAGGCUGUGCAUUGCUAAUUAUCUCUACCUCUUCUUAGCUGGAUAAAAGCUUUGCAGCCAGCGUUCUGAGCGGUGAUGGAAAGAGGAGUCUGCUGAUGACUUUUGGGCUGGCUGAGGGAGUCAGGUAAAGCAUCAUGAAUUUUAG